Molecule: small nuclear RNA, 103 nt
Organism: Cygnus atratus (black swan)
Lineage: Eukaryota; Metazoa; Chordata; Aves; Anseriformes; Anatidae
Source: RefSeq, a predicted model, not a curated record
CUGGUUCAGCAGCACAUAUACUAAAAUUGGCACAAUACGGAGAAGAUUAGCAUGGCUUCUGAGCAUGAAUAAAGCACAAAUUUGUGAAGCAUUCCAUAUUUUU